Molecule: ribosomal RNA, 466 nt
Filed under: uncultured bacterium
Lineage: Bacteria
Description: partial 16S ribosomal RNA
Rfam family: Bacterial small subunit ribosomal RNA
Source: RNAcentral
GACGAACGCUGGCGGCGUGCUUAACACAUGCAAGUCGAACGGUAAGGCUCCAGCUUGCUGGGGUACACGAGUGGCGAACGGGUGAGUAACACGUGGGUGACCUGCCCUGCACUUCGGGAUAAGCCUGGGAAACUGGGUCUAAUACCGGAUAGGACCAUGGUGUGGAUACUGUGGUGGAAAGUUUUUUCGGUGUGGGAUGGGCCCGCGGCCUAUCAGCUUGUUGGUGGGGUAAUGGCCUACCAAGGCGGCGACGGGUAGCCGGCCUGAGAGGGUGGACGGCCACAUUGGGACUGAGACACGGCCCAGACUCCUACGGGAGGCAGCAGUGGGGAAUAUUGCACAAUGGGCGGAAGCCUGAUGCAGCGACGCCGCGUGGGGGAUGACGGCCUUCGGGUUGUAAACCGCUUUCGCCUGUGACGAAGCGUGAGUGACGGUAAUGGGUAAAGAAGCACCGGCUAACUACGUG